RNAcentral lists this ribosomal RNA (389 nucleotides) under Annelida sp. RNAcentral's name for it is "partial small subunit ribosomal RNA". It matches the Rfam family "Eukaryotic small subunit ribosomal RNA", at positions 582 to 975 of the family's 1831-position model. Lineage: Eukaryota; Metazoa; Annelida. The record is from RNAcentral.
AUUCCAGCUCCAAUAGCGUAUAUUAAAGUUGUUGCAGUUAAAAAGCUCGUAGUUGGAUCUCGGGAGCGAGCGAGCGGUCGGGCGUUCAGCCGUGUACUUCUCACUCAUCCUACUGACCGGUACGUGCCCUGUGCUCUUAACCGAGUGUAGGGACCGUCUGGUGCGUUUACUUUGAAAAAAUUAGAGUGCUCAAAGCAGACGAGUCGUCUGAAUAGCCGUGCAUGGAAUAAUGGAAUAGGACCUCGGUUCUAUUUUGUUGGUUUUCGGAAGUCGAGGUAAUGAUUAAGAGGGACAGACGGGGGCAUUCGUACUGGGCCGCCAGAGGUGAAAUUCUUUAACUGGCUCAUGACGAACAACUGCGAAAGCAUUUGCCAAGAAUGUUUUCAUUG